GUCUCUUCGGGGACAUUGAUAAAAUUGGAACGAUAGAGAAAAAAUUAGCGUGAUCAUUGCACAAGUAUGUCACAUAUAAAUCGAGAAAUAAACCAGAUUUGA
Small nuclear RNA from Rosa chinensis, 102 nucleotides. Lineage: Eukaryota; Viridiplantae; Streptophyta; Magnoliopsida; Rosales; Rosaceae. The record is from RefSeq and is a predicted model, not a curated record.